This 413-nucleotide long non-coding RNA is filed under the name Physcomitrium patens. Its description in RNAcentral is "long non-coding RNA (PPAT_LNC002633)". The record is from RNAcentral. Lineage: Eukaryota; Viridiplantae; Streptophyta; Bryopsida; Funariales; Funariaceae.
UUCAAGUAAGAGUGAAGGAUUGAGAGUUAUUGAGAUGUUUAGAGGUGAUAAUUUCUACCAUUGGAAGGUAAAAAUGGAGCUUUUGUUGACGUCUUUGGAUCUUUGGGAUGUUGUAGAUGAAAGUGAAGAAGCUCCAAGCAAAGAUACUGAUAUGAAGGAGAAGAAGGAGUUUAAACGUCGUGAAAAGAAGGCUUUUGGAUUGAUUGCAACCAAUGUCAAUGAAGCCAUUUUUUCCCACAUUAUCUCUUGCAAAGGACCAUCGGAAGCAAGGAAGACUCUUUGCAACAUCUAUGAGAGCAAGAACUUAUCCAACAUCAUCUAUACAAGGAGGAGGUUCUUCACUCUGUAAGAUGGAAGAAAGUGAAGACCUCAUGGCUCAUGUCAAUAAGAUAAAGGCUCUUGCAAACCAACUA